RNAcentral lists this ribosomal RNA (446 nucleotides) under uncultured bacterium. RNAcentral's name for it is "partial 16S ribosomal RNA". It matches the Rfam family "Bacterial small subunit ribosomal RNA", at positions 338 to 795 of the family's 1533-position model. The record is from RNAcentral.
CCUACGGGGGGCAGCAGUCGAGAAUCAUUCACAAUGGGGGAAACCCUGAUGGUGCGACGCCGCGUGGGGGAAUGAAGGUCUUCGGAUGGUAAACCCCUGUCAUGUGGGAGCAAAUUAAAAAGAUAGUACCACAAGAGGAAGAGACGGCUAACUCUGUGCCAGCAGCCGCGGUAAUACAGAGGUCUCAAGCGUUGUUCGGAAUCACUGGGCGUAAAGCGUGCGUAGGCUGUUUCGUAAGUCGUGUGUGAAAGGCGCGGGCUCAACCCGCGGACGGCACAUGAUACUGCGAGACUAGAGUAAUGGAGGGGGAACCGGAAUUCUCGGUGUAGCAGUGAAAUGCGUAGAUAUCGAGAGGAACACUCGUGGCGAAGGCGGGUUCCUGGACAUUAACUGACGCUGAGGCACGAAGGCCAGGGGAGCGAAAGGGAUUAGAUACCCUAGUAGUC